Molecule: signal recognition particle RNA, 88 nt
Filed under: Candidatus Babeliales bacterium
Lineage: Bacteria; Candidatus Babeliae; Candidatus Babeliales
Description: signal recognition particle sRNA small type
Rfam family: Bacterial small signal recognition particle RNA
About the family: The signal recognition particle (SRP) is a universally conserved ribonucleoprotein involved in the co-translational targeting of proteins to membranes. Archaeal SRP consists of a 7S RNA and homologues of the eukaryotic SRP19 and SRP54 proteins.
Source: RNAcentral
UGAGAGAAGUUGGUAAAGUUUGUAGUGCUUAAUCUGUCAGGUUCGGAAGAAAGCAGCAGGGGUAUGUGCAAAUUUGUAUUAACUUCUC